UGAAUUUCUAACACUAGGCAAUCGUCAGGGCGAGUCUCGCGACGCGCCGUUUAACAACAUAACGAGGGCGACCACCGGCAGUGUCCUUUCAAGAAGAACCGACCCGACCUUUGCCGGAGAAACUAGAGGUAAUACAGUUGGACCCAGAUCAGCCUGACUUCACGAUCAGACAACGGACUGGCGUGAAAGAGAGGACCUGGAAGAUGAGAAGGAUGGUUUCCAAUAAGGCUGCAGAGGGAAUGGCCAUGACCUCCACCUACAAGUGCAAAAGUCCCUCAUGCAGAACUGCUGACACACCUCCAGGCUCCUUUUCCUCCCGUUCUCCUUCACUUAUCUCGCCCCGCAGAUCCACACGUUUGGAUCUGGAUUUGCCUCCAGAGCGUCUGAAAUCUGAGCAUUCGGUGGAGGAGCAAAACGCAUCAAGGCAGAAUCUCCUCCCAGAGCUCAACCCAUAACCGCGACCCCAGACCGAGACCAACAAUUUAAUCCAGCACGAGGUCCUGUGAAUUUAAGACCAUGAGCCACCCCAAAUGCCAUGAAACCAGAGCCUAGACACCUGCUUUGGCACCAGAAUUUCAUUGUCAUUGUGCCAUUCCGUGGGUUUGCUGAACACUCCAGACAACGACCCGCAAACCAGAGCUCUUAUUCUGCAGAACCAAAGAAAAAAAAAAAUCCUUGGACUGGAAGUCAUUUUAAUUUUCUCUGCCAUCACCUGUUAUUUUUCACAUUCUUUUUUUCUUAAAGCCACAAAAAUGAUAAACUAAAAAAGAAUCCAGACAUCUGGUACCAUAACCAAGCCGGUUUGGUUCUUUAUUUCCCUUUUUUAUUUUUGGGACUAAACAGAACCACACAAAUGGGCCAGGGGGAGCUACUCCAUAACAUGUGUGCCUCGCCGCAGGAGAGGAAAAAUAAACGCACGCCAAACCAUAAAAAACCUAAACUAAUGCAAAGGCACUCUGAAUACGAAACUGC
Gasterosteus aculeatus aculeatus (three-spined stickleback) is the source of this 972-nucleotide long non-coding RNA. Lineage: Eukaryota; Metazoa; Chordata; Actinopteri; Perciformes; Gasterosteidae. The record is from Ensembl.